ACUCCUACGGGAGGCAGCAGUCGAGAAUAAUUCACAAUGGGGGAAACCCUGAUGGUGCAACGCCGCGUGGAGGAUGAAGGCCCUAGGGUCGUAAAACUCCUGUCAUUCGAGAGCAAGACCUGGGUGUUAACAGCACACAGGGUUGAUAGUAUCGAAAAGAGGAAAGGGACGGCUAACUUCGUGCCAGCAGCCGCGGUAAUACGAAGGUCCCGAGCGUUGUUCGGAAUCACUGGGCGUAAAAGGGAGCGUAGGCGGUUCGGUAAGUCAGGUGUGAAAAU
This 278-nucleotide ribosomal RNA is filed under the name uncultured bacterium. Its description in RNAcentral is "partial 16S ribosomal RNA". It matches the Rfam family "Bacterial small subunit ribosomal RNA", at positions 335 to 601 of the family's 1533-position model. The record is from RNAcentral.